Molecule: ribosomal RNA, 1447 nt
Filed under: uncultured organism
Description: SSU rRNA
Rfam family: Bacterial small subunit ribosomal RNA
Source: RNAcentral
AACGCUAGCUACAGGCUUAACACAUGCAAGUCGAGGGGCAGCAUGGCCUUAGCUUGCUAAGGCCGAUGGCGACCGGCGCACGGGUGAGUAACACGUAUCCAACCUGCCGUCUACUCUUGGACAGCCUUCUGAAAGGAAGAUUAAUACAAGAUGGCAUCAUGAGUCCGCAUGUUCACAUGAUUAAAGGUAUUCCGGUAGACGAUGGGGAUGCGUUCCAUUAGAUAGUAGGCGGGGUAACGGCCCACCUAGUCUUCGAUGGAUAGGGGUUCUGAGAGGAAGGUCCCCCACAUUGGAACUGAGACACGGUCCAAACUCCUACGGGAGGCAGCAGUGAGGAAUAUUGGUCAAUGGGCGAGAGCCUGAACCAGCCAAGUAGCGUGAAGGAUGACUGCCCUAUGGGUUGUAAACUUCUUUUAUAAAGGAAUAAAGUCGGGUAUGGAUACCCGUUUGCAUGUACUUUAUGAAUAAGGAUCGGCUAACUCCGUGCCAGCAGCCGCGGUAAUACGGAGGAUCCGAGCGUUAUCCGGAUUUAUUGGGUUUAAAGGGAGCGUAGAUGGAUGUUUAAGUCAGUUGUGAAAGUUUGCGGCUCAACCGUAAAAUUGCAGUUGAUACUGGAUAUCUUGAGUGCAGUUGAGGCAGGCGGAAUUCGUGGUGUAGCGGUGAAAUGCUUAGAUAUCACGAAGAACUCCGAUUGCGAAGGCAGCCUGCUAAGCUGCAACUGACAUUGAGGCUCGAAAGUGUGGGUAUCAAACAGGAUUAGAUACCCUGGUAGUCCACACGGUAAACGAUGAAUACUCGCUGUUUGCGAUAUACUGCAAGCGGCCAAGCGAAAGCGUUAAGUAUUCCACCUGGGGAGUACGCCGGCAACGGUGAAACUCAAAGGAAUUGACGGGGGCCCGCACAAGCGGAGGAACAUGUGGUUUAAUUCGAUGAUACGCGAGGAACCUUACCCGGGCUUAAAUUGCAGAUGAAUUACGGUGAAAGCCGUAAGCCGCAAGGCAUCUGUGAAGGUGCUGCAUGGUUGUCGUCAGCUCGUGCCGUGAGGUGUCGGCUUAAGUGCCAUAACGAGCGCAACCCUUGUUGUCAGUUACUAACAGGUUCCGCUGAGGACUCUGACAAGACUGCCAUCGUAAGAUGUGAGGAAGGUGGGGAUGACGUCAAAUCAGCACGGCCCUUACGUCCGGGGCUACACACGUGUUACAAUGGGGGGUACAGAGGGCCGCUACCACGCGAGUGGAUGCCAAUCCCCAAAACCUCUCUCAGUUCGGACUGGAGUCUGCAACCCGACUCCACGAAGCUGGAUUCGCUAGUAAUCGCGCAUCAGCCACGGCGCGGUGAAUACGUUCCCGGGCCUUGUACACACCGCCCGUCAAGCCAUGGGAGCCGGGGGUACCUGAAGUGCGUAACCGCGAGGAGCGCCCUAGGGUAAAACUGGUGACUGGGGCUA